CCUACGGGCGGCAGCAGUAGGGAAUCUUUCACAAUGGGCGAAAGCCUGAUGGAGCAACGCCGCGUGCAGGAUGAAGGCCUUCGGGUUGUAAACUGCUUUUAUAAGCGAGAAAUAUGAUGGUAACUUAUGAAUAAGGAUCGGCUAACUACGUGCCAGCAGCCGCGGUCAUACGUAGGAUCCGAGCAUUAUCCGGAGUGACUGGGUGUAAAGAGUUGCGUAGGUGGCAUAAUAAGUAGCUAGUGAAAUCUGGUGGCUCAACCAUUCAGACUAUUAGCUAAACUGUUAAGCUCGAGACCGUUAGGGGUAACUGGAAUUUCUAGUGUAGGAGUGAAAUCCGUAGAUAGUAGAAGGAACACCAAUAGCGUAGGCAGGUUGCUGGGACGGUUCUGACACUAAGGCACGAAAGCGUAGGGAGCAAACGGGAUUAGAUACCCGAGUAGUC
RNAcentral lists this ribosomal RNA (442 nucleotides) under uncultured bacterium. RNAcentral describes it as "partial 16S ribosomal RNA". It matches the Rfam family "Bacterial small subunit ribosomal RNA", at positions 338 to 795 of the family's 1533-position model. The record is from RNAcentral.